CGGGGCGGGGAUGGACCGGGACAGAGUUGGAACUUCCUUCUCCCGGGGCUCUGGGGGCUUUGGGGUCCAGCCGGGAAAGGCCAGUGGAAAGGAAGCUCCCCAGCGGGGUGUUCCCAUUCCCACCGCUAGGGCGUCGCCUGGGAAAACGCGGCGCGCCCUGGGCGGACAGGUAGGGCGGCAGGGACCGGACCUGCCCGGUGAGGACCCCAGGGGAGGAUCCCGGCGACUGCGGGGAUUCGUAAACACACAGCACGGGGCCUGCAGCUGGCCCUCCCUGACGUCUGAUCUUCCACGUCCAGGGUGUUAUUUUUGUUGUUUCUCAACCUGACCUCUAAGAUUGCUAUCCUGUUGAAAGCACACCUGUGACCCUGUGACCUAUCUAAUGGUGGCAGGAUUAAGCUUGCCCUAUCUUCAGGGGCAUCUUUCUUUCUUACUUUCUUUUCGCCUGUAACUGCUGUGGCAUGAGGACUGGACAAUAAUAUGUCUGAAGACAAUCUAUAAAUUAAGAAUCAAAUGAUAGAUCUUAUUCACCUCUUGGAAAUGCGGAAUAAAGGGACCACAGACGCGGCUGCACGCUUGUUUGUAAGGUUUAGUUCCCACGUGAAUGCUCUUUAGAUGAGUCUUUACACCUGACAAACAGCAAUCAUGGAAGUGCACCGUAAGAAGGAGGCAGCAAAGAACUGAAGGAUCCCGGAAUGCUAAAUUAUUACCCUGCACAACUGCGCAGGAGAGUCCCAGGAACUACAACAGAAUCUGCAUAAGCAAGAAAUAAACUUGUGUUGGGUUAAGCCGCUAAAAUACUGGAGUGGCUGUUGCCCAUCAUUGCGUAGCCUACCUCAUGUACACAGUAUUCCUCCCUUAUCUGAGGUGGUGCUUUGUGGUUCCAGUUUCCCAUGGCCAAUGACAACCAGAAAAUGUUAAAUGGAAAAAUUCUUAGAAAUAAACAAACUUUAAAUUAA
This is a long non-coding RNA of Myotis davidii, 959 nucleotides long. RefSeq lists it as uncharacterized. The record is from RefSeq and is a predicted model, not a curated record. The transcript has 2 exons. Lineage: Eukaryota; Metazoa; Chordata; Mammalia; Chiroptera; Vespertilionidae.